GACGAACGCUGGCGGCGUGCUUAACACAUGCAAGUCGAACGGAAAGGCCCUGCUUUUGUGGGGUGCUCGAGUGGCGAACGGGUGAGUAACACGUGAGUAACCUGCCCUUGACUUUGGGAUAACUUCAGGAAACUGGGGCUAAUACCGGAUAGGAGCUCCUGCUGCAUGGUGGGGGUUGGAAAGUUUCGGCGGUUGGGGAUGGACUCGCGGCUUAUCAGCUUGUUGGUGGGGUAGUGGCUUACCAAGGCUUUGACGGGUAGCCGGCCUGAGAGGGUGACCGGCCACAUUGGGACUGAGAUACGGCCCAGACUCCUACGGGAGGCAGCAGUGGGGAAUAUUGCACAAUGGGCGGAAGCCUGAUGCAGCAACGCCGCGUGCGGGAUGACGGCCUUCGGGGGGUAAACCGCUUUCGCCUGUGACGAAGCGUGAGUGACGGUAAUGGGUAAAGAAGCACCGGCUAACUACGUG
This 468-nucleotide ribosomal RNA is filed under the name uncultured bacterium. RNAcentral's name for it is "partial 16S ribosomal RNA". It matches the Rfam family "Bacterial small subunit ribosomal RNA", at positions 28 to 507 of the family's 1533-position model. The record is from RNAcentral.